UUCACAUAAUCAUAUUCAAAUGUAUGCUAUGCCAAAAUAUAACAAAGUAAACAAUCCAAGUAAGAAUGAUUUCAUAGAAAUAUGAUAUGUUAGUCGGAACCCCUGAGGUGGUAUGUACAGCUGAAUUCAUAGCUCAAAAGUCAAUCUAGCCGGAGUCACUACAAUGACCUAUACGACAAUAUAAUGUACAUAAGUCAGAACCACUAAGAAGGAUCUGUACGACAAGAUUGGGUGAAAUAUAAUUAUGCUCAACCCUAUUCUCUCAUAAUAGUCGGGCAAUAAAUCGCUAGUCACCUAUGAGUCGGAACCAUGAAUAACGUCUGUAUGACAAGACUGUGCACUUAAGUUUGAUCCAAUAUGAACAUAUAGUGCAUGAGGUAACGUAAAUAAAUAGGCAUGUACUUUAUAUCUCUGGCUAAAUCAAAAUCACCCUAGGUGCAAUUUCAUGAGCUCAACAUCAUUCAAUCACAUAUCACAUCAUUAAUGAUUCACAUAGCCAAACAUAACUUACCUGAACUUACCUGUGCCUCCACAGCACCACAUUUAUAUAUAUAUGCAACCAUGAAAUGCAUAUUCAGAAUAUAAAAGCAUUUGACAUAUUAUUUCAAAGCAUACUUUCCUUAAAAAUGCAUUUCUGGGAAAUAUAUCAAGUAUAUAAAUAUAUACUGAAAACAAAAGCCCACUCACUGAUAUGUCAAAGGGUCGUAGCCCCCGAAUCGCCCGUGGAUACACACGUCCUCGGGAUAAGUCUCACCUAUAUGCAAAUUAACUAUAAAAACGUUAUUUUAAAGCACAUAUACAAAACUAGCUAAUAACUUCUCAUACAUUGCUCAAAUUGGGUACAUGAAUAUACCACAGUGAUCUACACAACUUCACGAACAUCGUGAUAUUUUUAGAAAAAUUUUCCUAUGGCUCACGCACUGGGGAGGGCACGGCCUCACGCACCCUCACGCGCAUCACAUUUAACCUCCAGACGCCGGAACUGUGUCACCAGUGCAAAAUUCUGGGCAGACCUACAACUGCCUAUUUCUCUCUCGUUUUUGCACCAUUUUUCACGUAAUUUAUACCAAAAUGAAGCUCUUAACUUGUAGAACACAAUCAUACUAAUUUAAAAGUUCUAAAAGUCACGGAAUCUCACCGGAGAAUUCCAAGAAAACCGGCUUCGUCCACAAAUCGUCCUUCGUCCAACACGAUCCCGAUGUCCAAAACCUUCAAAUGAAGCACUCCGAGCUUCCUUGGGACCUCACUAAGCUUCCUACAAGCUUCAAAUUCCCAAAAACAUCCAUAAUUACGUGUGCAUGAACAGUGCAUAAAUCGGGGGUUAAGAAAAACUAGGGUUUUCGAAGGUAUCCUUACUUGAAAUGGGUGCCAAUCGACUCGUUUGAGCUUCACAAACACAAUGGUACCAACUUUGACCACGAUCCGUGAAGUUUCAAUGGUUUUGGAGGUUUGUCCGUACGAUUUCGAAUGAGAGAGACGAGAGAGUCUGGGAAAUGAGAGAGAGAAGGGUAUGGAUGUGUGUGGUCCAAAAAUACACACCAAUCAAAUUGUUUAAUCCUUUUUGGUCUAAUUGGGUCCAAUUAGUUAGGAAUAUAACUAAUUGACCCAAUUCCUUAACCCAAACACAAACACACGUCCAACGCUCAAGGGUAAAUCCGUCUUUUCACAACCACGAUAAUUAAUUCUUGGGAUGGGCUGUGACAUCAAACUUCCUAGAUCACCCACGAUCACGAUCGAGUCACUAUUUACCUCGCUGGAGCUUAUGGAACUUAGGGUUCUUGACGUUCUUUCUUAAAAACAAUGGUAUCACUCGACUCAUGAGAACACAACGAACAAAGUGGUGACCUUAGAUGGUUUGAUCCGUGAGGUUUUGAUGUAGUUUGAGGGAUUGUCCGUACAGUUGUACGGACAAUGGAAGAAAUUCGAGAGGGAGGAGAGAGAGAGUGCACGGGAAGGAGAGAGAGAGAGAGUUGGAGUGUGUGUGUAUGUGUCCAAAAUUGUUUGACUUCCAAACAACCACAAAACCAUAACAACUUGAAGUUCUAAUUGGUUCCAAAUAUCAGGGA
Molecule: long non-coding RNA, 2066 nt
Filed under: Malus domestica (apple)
Lineage: Eukaryota; Viridiplantae; Streptophyta; Magnoliopsida; Rosales; Rosaceae
Description: long non-coding RNA (MDOM_LNC006112)
Source: RNAcentral